GACGAACGCUGGCGGCGUGCUUAACACAUGCAAGUCGAACGGAAAGGCCCUGCUUUUGUGGGGUGCUCGAGUGGCGAACGGGUGAGUAACACGUGAGUAACCUGCCCUUGACUUUGGUAUAACUUCAGGAAACUGGGGCUAAUACCGGAUAGGAGCUCCUGCUGCAUGGUGGGGGUUGGAAAGUUUCGGCGGUUGGGGAUGGACUCGCGGCUUAUCAGCUUGUUGGUGGGGUAGUGGCUUACCAAGGCUUUGACGGGUAGCCGGCCUGAGAGGGUGACCGGCCACAUUGGGACUGAGAUACGGACCAGACUCCUACGGGAGGCAGCAGUGGGGAAUAUUGCACAGUGGGCGGAAGCCUGAUGCAGCAACGCCGCGUGCGGGAUGACGGCCUUCGGGUUGUAAACCGCUUUCGCCUGUGACGACGCGUGAGUGACGGUAAUGGAUAAAGAAGCACCGGCUAACUACGUG
This 468-nucleotide ribosomal RNA is filed under the name uncultured bacterium. RNAcentral describes it as "partial 16S ribosomal RNA". It matches the Rfam family "Bacterial small subunit ribosomal RNA", at positions 28 to 507 of the family's 1533-position model. The record is from RNAcentral.